Molecule: small nuclear RNA, 159 nt
Organism: Erigeron canadensis
Lineage: Eukaryota; Viridiplantae; Streptophyta; Magnoliopsida; Asterales; Asteraceae
Product: U1 spliceosomal RNA
Exons: 1
Source: RefSeq, a predicted model, not a curated record
UUACUUACCUGGAUGGGGUCAAUAGGCGAUCAAGAAGGUCUAUGGCCUAGAUCAGUAACCUCCAUUGCACUUCAGGAGGGGUGCUGCUCUAAGGUCGGCCCAAGUGGUCGAGCCUACAUCAUAAUUUGUUGUCGGGGCUUGCGUUCGCGCAGCCCCUUU